Molecule: non-coding RNA, 123 nt
Filed under: bovine gut metagenome
Description: FMN riboswitch (RFN element)
Rfam family: FMN riboswitch aptamer (RFN element)
About the family: The RFN element is a highly conserved domain that is found frequently in the 5'-untranslated regions of prokaryotic mRNAs that encode for flavin mononucleotide (FMN) biosynthesis and transport proteins. This element is a metabolite-dependent riboswitch that directly binds FMN in the absence of proteins.
Source: RNAcentral
UUCUUCGGGGCGGGGUGCAAGUCCCCACCGGCGGUAUAGUCCGCGACCACCUUCGGGUGAAUGAAUCGGUGACGCGCGUGCGCGAAUUCCGAUACCGACAGUAUAGUCUGGAUGUGAGAAGAA